UACGUAGGGUGCGAGCGUUAAUCGGAAUUACUGGGCGUAAAGCGUGCGCAGGCGGUUUGCUAAGACAGGUGUGAAAUCCCCGGGCUUAACCUGGGAACUGCGCUUGUGACUGGCAGGCUAGAGUACGGUAGAGGGGGGUGGAAUUCCUGGUGUAGCAGUGAAAUGCGUAGAUAUCAGGAGGAACACCGAUGGCGAAGGCAGCCCCCUGGGCCUGUACUGACGCUCAUGCACGAAAGCGUGGGGAGCAAACAGGAUUAGAUACCCU
Molecule: ribosomal RNA, 265 nt
Filed under: uncultured prokaryote
Description: partial 16S ribosomal RNA
Rfam family: Bacterial small subunit ribosomal RNA
Source: RNAcentral